Molecule: ribosomal RNA, 483 nt
Filed under: uncultured bacterium
Lineage: Bacteria
Description: partial 16S ribosomal RNA
Rfam family: Bacterial small subunit ribosomal RNA
Source: RNAcentral
GACGAACGCUGGCGGCGUGCUUAACACAUGCAAGUCGAACGAUGAAGCUGGAGCUUGCUCCAGUGGAUUAGUGGCGAACGGGUGAGUAACACGUGAGCAAUCUGCCCUUGACUCUGGGAUAACUGCGGGAAACUGUAGCUAAUACCGGAUAUGACACCUUGGGGCAUCCCGAGGUGUGGAAAGAAUUUCGGUCAAGGAUGAGCUCGCGGCCUAUCAGCUUGUUGGUGAGGUAACGGCUCACCAAGGCGACGACGGGUAGCCGGCCUGAGAGGGUGACCGGCCACACGGGAACUGAGACACGGUCCAGACUCCUACGGGAGGCAGCAGUGGGGAAUAUUGCACAAUGGGCGAAAGCCUGAUGCAGCAACGCCGCGUGAGGGAUGACGGCCUUCGGGUUGUAAACCUCUUUUAGCAGGGAAGAAGCGAAAGUGACGGUACCUGCAGAAGAAGCACCGGCUAACUACGUGCCAGCCGCCGCGGUAA